GGCUAUAUUACUAGGCUAGAGCUGA
RNAcentral lists this unclassified non-coding RNA (25 nucleotides) under Mus musculus (house mouse). Its description in RNAcentral is "oocyte_clustered_small_RNA12979". Lineage: Eukaryota; Metazoa; Chordata; Mammalia; Rodentia; Muridae. The record is from RNAcentral.